This 556-nucleotide ribosomal RNA is filed under the name Exophiala angulospora. RNAcentral describes it as "eukaryotic LSU rRNA". It matches the Rfam family "Eukaryotic large subunit ribosomal RNA", at positions 83 to 651 of the family's 3401-position model. Lineage: Eukaryota; Fungi; Ascomycota; Eurotiomycetes; Chaetothyriales; Herpotrichiellaceae. The record is from RNAcentral.
GUAACGGCGAGUGAAGCGGCAACAGCUCAAAUUUGAAAUCUGGCCUCUUCGGGGUCCGAGUUGUAAUUUGUAGAGGAUGUUUCGGGUACCGCCUCGGUCUAAAUUUCUUGGAACAGAAUGUCAAAGAGGGUGAGAAUCCCGUCUUGGAUCGGCGGUAGGGCCCAUGUGAAACUCCUUCGACGAGUCGAGUUGUUUGGGAAUGCAGCUCAAAAUGGGUGGUAUAUUUCAUCUAAAGCUAAAUAUUGGCCAGAGACCGAUAGCGCACAAGUAGAGUGAUCGAAAGAUGAAAAGCACUUUGAAAAGAGAGUUAAACAGUAUGUGAAAUUGUUGAAAGGGAAGCGCUUGCAACCAGACUUGCGCGCGGCGGUUCCCCCUUCCUUUUGGCUGGGUUAUUCCGCCGUGUCCAGGCCAACAUCGGUUCUGGGGGUCGGUUAAAGGCUCUGGGAAUGUAUCUACCCUUCGGGCGUAGACUUAUAGCCCAGGGUGUCAUGCGGCCUCCCGGGACCGAGGAACGCGCUUCGGCUCGGAUGUUGGCGUAAUGGUUGUCAGCGACCCG